Long non-coding RNA from Meriones unguiculatus (Mongolian gerbil), 2291 nucleotides. RefSeq lists it as uncharacterized. Lineage: Eukaryota; Metazoa; Chordata; Mammalia; Rodentia; Muridae. The transcript has 3 exons. The record is from RefSeq and is a predicted model, not a curated record.
CUUCUAACUCAGGUUAGACCCCGUGACAACUCUCAUGAUAACCCAGGACUACCCUAACUGCAGUUAGCCCAGAGCUGGGUGAAAACAGGCCUUUGCCUUCCAGGGUCAUGGCCCUCCUCCCAGAUUCAGGAGCAAAGAGCAGCUAAGAGGCUUCGGGAACGUCGUGGACUCUGGUCUGGCCGGUUUGGGAAUUGUUUUCUUAUCUGUAAACUGGGCUCAGCUCGCCUGAUGCUGAGAUCCUGGGUGGCAGGCACUCCUAGCGCUGUCUACUGGGCUGAUCCGGGACCAGCUGGAGCAACCGCCUUUGCGUUCAACUUUGCUCGGGGUGGAACAGGGAGGGACUGAGAGGACAGCCGGUGAGGCUACCGUGGAGUGACCUUGCCGGUGGCAGCCGCAAUCAGGUGAGGCCCCAGCCCGGAUCUUCCAGAUGUCAGAUGUUGGGAAAGUCCUAUCCAGCUUCUCCUGUCUCUGUGCACAGUGACGGCGGACCCUGCUACAUACCUUUAAUUCCAGCCCCGGGAGGCUCUCACAGUGAGACCAGCCUGGGCUACACAGCUCCAAGCCGGCACAGUCUACAGAACCAGAUCUGUCUCAGACACCUUUGUAAGGAAAGAAGGGAGAAGGGACCAGACCCGAUCCGGUCCCCGGAGGGUAACGACCCAGGCCGGGCUGACUGAGAAGCUCUGUCCUGCAGACCAGUGGGGCGCUCCGCAUUUGAAACCUGUAUUCUGGAAGCGGUGACCCGCGCUUAGGCCAGCCCCCUCACGGGAUCCCUGCAUACCCCUCUAACGGCCUGGUCGUCUUUAGAAUGAGGGAGGUCUGUGCACGCAGGUGAACAGGGACCAGGGCGUGCCAGACGCGCGCAGCGCCUCCCCGGCCUGAGCCCACCGCGCAGGCCAGGCCCUGCUGGAAGAUAGCGUGUAGGGGGAGGAGAGAGGAAGCCGGCCAGCUCUGCAGACACCAGGUCCUAUUCAGGGCUCCUCCGUCCUCUGAUGUCAUGCGCUUCCUGCUUUCGCACUGCGGAGUCUGGAGACAAGGCUGCUUCUCCCUGCUCAUCAAGGCGGCUUCUCUAUGUAACAGAGAAAGAGCAUCACCAAAACCCAAAAUGAAACAAAGCAACAAACAACUGAUGAAGAUGCCGAGAACAGGAGCUCUGUGGAGCCAGUGAAGCCACCUACAGCCAGCAACUGCGCCUCAGGCUCAGGGGUCACUGCGGGAGCGAGAGCCAGAGGAACAGGAAGUUUGCUGCAAGAUAGUGUCUCCUAGAAGCACCAGAGUGGCUACAGGCGAGAUGUCUAUAGCCGAGAUGUCUCCUCAUCACGGCUGCCUAAACAAGAACUAGAUGACAACCCCUGCAUCAGACAUGCUAACAUGGAAGGGAAGCUCCAGGGGCCUCAACCCUAGAGAGAAAACUGUGGACAGCUAGGAAUGCUGGGGGCAGGAGAGAUGUUCUUCUCUAGGAAAGAACACAUCAGUGGGUUAUCCAGUACCAAGUGGUCAGCCCUGACGUUUACGCACAGGAAAUGUUAUCAAGACCAAGCAGUCUGGCAGCCUAUGGAAAGAACAAAGAAGAAGGAAGCCUCUCUGUGCCUGCUUGGAUUCACUGCAUCAGAGAGUCGGGACACUGACACAGCCUGCACAACAGUGAGAUGUCCAGCCUCCAGGACUGAACAAACUACUGGAUUCUUGGACUUUCCACUGGAGACAGACAUUAUCGGACUGGCUGGACCACAGCCCGAAGCCACUCCAAUAAAUCUCCUUUAUAGGUAUGUAUAUGUGUGUUCUAUCAUUCUGUUUCUCCAGAGAACUCCAGUUAGCCCAAUAUAUGUGAAUGUAUAUACUUGACAGCAAUUAAAGAAAUAGAGGCCAUGAACUUGAAAAGCAUCGGGGGGUACAUGGGGGGACUGGAAGGAGGAAAAGGAAUGCAGGGAAUGAUGUAAUUAUAAUUUCAAAAAAUAAAGAAAUAAUAAUAUAAAGUUCAAAUAUCUGUGUCAGCUGAAAACUGCGCAUCCAUUGCUUGUCCCCUUUGGAAGCUGCUUGUUUGGGGGAGGAAAGAUCUACGUUUAGAGGUCACUGCUGAGACAUCUCUGAGUUGUCAGGAGGCCAGAGGCUAAGCGAAACCAGUGAAGAAGAGGUACAUAAAGGACCUGUGGGUCUCCAUGGUGACAGCUAAGAUGCAUGUUAAAUGUCCUCAUUGAGCACAUUGCCUUCCUCAGUAAGACCCUGAGAUAAUCAUCUCAGAUUGCCUGUCGUCUCCAUUCUCUCAGCUCAGAGGAAGACUCUAAGUGUCA